CGCUCGGCCGGGGUGCCGGGCUGCCCGGGCCGCUCCCGCUCGCCCUGGUCGGGGUGGCGGCCGGGCUGGGUCUGCUCGGUGCCGGCCUGGCCGG
RNAcentral lists this transfer RNA (94 nucleotides) under Plantactinospora mayteni. RNAcentral's name for it is "tRNA-Gly". Lineage: Bacteria; Bacillati; Actinomycetota; Actinomycetes; Micromonosporales; Micromonosporaceae. The record is from RNAcentral.